Molecule: microRNA precursor, 87 nt
Filed under: Punica granatum (pomegranate)
Lineage: Eukaryota; Viridiplantae; Streptophyta; Magnoliopsida; Myrtales; Lythraceae
Description: mir-160 microRNA precursor family
Rfam family: mir-160 microRNA precursor family
About the family: The hairpin precursors (represented here) are predicted based on base pairing and cross-species conservation -- their extents are not known. In this case the mature sequence is excised from the 5' arm of the hairpin.
Source: Rfam by way of RNAcentral
AUGUGCCUGGCUCCCUGUAUGCCAUUUGCAGAGCACCACCGGAACAGCGAUGGCCUCCGUGAAUGGCGUAUGAGGAGCCAUGCAUAU